CCUAACACAUGCAAGUCGAACGCUUUCGGGGUUUCGGCCUCCGAGGGAGUGGCGGACGGGUGAGUAGCGCGUGGGAACCUGCCCCUUUGUGGGGGAUAACCGAGGGAAACUUCGGCUAAUACCGCAUGCGCCCGGGGUAACUCCGGGAAAGAUUUAUCGCAGAGGGAGGGGCCCGCGUCGGAUUAGGUAGUUGGUGGGGUAACGGCCUACCAAGCCUGUGAUCCGUAGCUGGUCUGAGAGGAUGAUCAGCCACACUGGGACUGAGACACGGCCCAGACUCCUACGGGAGGCAGCAGUGGGGAAUAUUGGACAAUGGGCGCAAGCCUGAUCCAGCAAUGCCGCGUGAGUGAUGAAGGCCUUAGGGUUGUAAAGCUCUUUCGGCGGGGACGAUGAUGACGGUACCCGCAGAAGAAGCCCCGGCUA
Molecule: ribosomal RNA, 423 nt
Filed under: grassland soil clone saf1_314
Lineage: Bacteria
Description: bacterial SSU rRNA
Rfam family: Bacterial small subunit ribosomal RNA
Source: RNAcentral